UCUUGGAGAUUCUUUUACAUUAUGAAUUCUAGAACAGUGGUAAGUGGUAGCUUCUACAAACAGAAAUUUACUGCCAAUGAAAUUAAAUGUGUGGCUACAACAUCAAACAACCAGAAUUUAAGAAUUAUUACAGAACAGAAUAAAGUGAGGGUCUGAAGAAUUAUCCAUAAAGCAUGAUCCUUUCUAGGAGAUUAGAAAGAAUCCUGAUUUCUUGCUUCUUAUCAACAAUGUAGAACUUUCUUCUGGUUCUUUCCUUGU
Molecule: long non-coding RNA, 258 nt
Filed under: Homo sapiens (human)
Lineage: Eukaryota; Metazoa; Chordata; Mammalia; Primates; Hominidae
Description: HSALNT0383587
Source: RNAcentral